Long non-coding RNA from Dermochelys coriacea (leatherback sea turtle), 508 nucleotides. RefSeq lists it as uncharacterized. The transcript is spliced from 3 exons. The record is from RefSeq and is a predicted model, not a curated record. NCBI's taxonomy places the organism in Eukaryota, Metazoa, Chordata, Testudines, Dermochelyidae.
GCCACUCAAGUUGGCUGAUUGCCAUGCCUCCAGUGUGUCCAUCUUCCCAGACAUUCAUUUGAGCUCUGUCGCUGAACAGAGCAAGUCUCCUUCAUUUCCUGGAGCACCACUCUGAAGAACUAGCCGUUUACACUCUUCUUGAUACAGCUGAAGUAUUGCUGUUUGAAGGGAACAAACAGGCAACCCUUUAAAAUUCCCUUUGAGCCCAGGGAGCAGCACAUGAAGGAGGCAGAAUUCCACCUUGCACGUCUGGCUGCCAGGUGUUGGGCACUGUACAUGUGUCACAUGGGAAGGGACAAUGUGACACAAAGAAAUGGGAGACUUGCUGAGAUCCAGCCGACCUCCUGCCAUGAGGGUACUUUACCAUGUAUUUGCCAUGGCCACCGGAGAGGUGGUAUCUGAACAUUGGAACAAUUUACCCCCUGAAGAAAUUGAACUUCCUCCACACAACCACAACUAGGGGAAUCCUGAAGAAAUCCAGUACAGAACGUGUGGGAUCACCAGAGGG